GCGGGUACAGCUCAGUGGUAUAGCGCCUGCUUGGCAUGCACGAGGUGCUAGGUUCAAUCCCCAGUUCCUCCA
RNAcentral lists this transfer RNA (72 nucleotides) under Camelus bactrianus (Bactrian camel). It matches the Rfam family "tRNA". From Rfam's summary of the family: Transfer RNA (tRNA) molecules are approximately 80 nucleotides in length. RNAcentral also lists the same sequence under 1 other name. Lineage: Eukaryota; Metazoa; Chordata; Mammalia; Artiodactyla; Camelidae. The record is from Rfam by way of RNAcentral.